Small nucleolar RNA from Fukomys damarensis (Damara mole-rat), 214 nucleotides. The record is from Ensembl. Lineage: Eukaryota; Metazoa; Chordata; Mammalia; Rodentia; Bathyergidae.
GUGAAAAAUAACAUAUAAGGGAAAAUAUUUUAUUUUUAAAAAUUCACUCUUGGGAUCUGAAAUCCUGGUGGGGAUCCCGGAAGCCUGGCUCCCCACUGUAAAUCCAGGUCAAUAGCACUGCUGGCCUCGGUUUCUGGAAGUCGACUGCAGGGAGGUCCACAAGUGGGGGAAAAAUAGAUUUUAAAAAACUCCAUUUUCAUUUUAUCUUUUCAUA